This 591-nucleotide long non-coding RNA is filed under the name Mus pahari (shrew mouse). RNAcentral describes it as "lncRNA (MGP_PahariEiJ_G0004100.1)". The record is from RNAcentral. Lineage: Eukaryota; Metazoa; Chordata; Mammalia; Rodentia; Muridae.
CUGUCCAUCUCCAGAAUGCUGGCUUCAGCAGGAACCAGAAACAGUGCCCCCCCCCCCAAGCCUCCUCCACAGCGCUGCUACAGCUGGAAGACCUGCUCUUCUGCGAUGGAUACUUCCCAUUCUCUAUGCUUCCUCACCUCUGGGCACAUCUCAACAAGCAAGAUCAAGCCACCAGCCUCAGGAUUCCAUUAAGAAAAGGAUUUAUUUAUUUAUAACAUGUACCUACUUAUUUUUCAAGGAAGUGGCCUUUGAAGAGGACAAAUGAAGCUGAUAAUCACUGGUGAAUCCAAAGAGCUCAUUCAGAAGUCUUUUUGCAUUGCCUUCUGCCAGCCUCCAGGACCAUACACAUGAGUGACAGCCUCUAUCUAGUGUUUGAGUAUAUAAACCUUUAAUCCAUCAAGAUGCUUCUAAAACUGAGAGAGUACCUCCACCAUGUGCCCACACCUUCCUGUACAAACCCCCUCAUCUUGGGACCCACAGAAAUGCCACCACAUUGGAAGCCAGCUGAAUAUAUUUUUCUAAUCUCAUCCAGACUUUAUGGCUAUAAUUUGGCUGCUGACACAAUUUUAAAUUAGCUUUUGCUUCAAUGAA